AUUGAACGCUGGCGGCAGGCUUAACACAUGCAAGUCGAGCGGAGAGAGGUAGCUUGCUACUGAUCUUAGCGGCGGACGGGUGAGUAAUGCUUAGGAAUCUGCCUAUUAGUGGGGGACAACAUCUCGAAAGGGAUGCUAAUACCGCAUACGUCCUACGGGAGAAAGCAGGGGAUCUUCGGACCUUGCGCUAAUAGAUGAGCCUAAGUCGGAUUAGCUAGUUGGUGGGGUAAAGGCCUACCAAGGCGACGAUCUGUAGCGGGUCUGAGAGGAUGAUCCGCCACACUGGGACUGAGACACGGCCCAGACUCCUACGGGAGGCAGCAGUGGGGAAUAUUGGACAAUGGGGGGAACCCUGAUCCAGCCAUGCCGCGUGUGUGAAGAAGGCCUUAUGGUUGUAAAGCACUUUAAGCGAGGAGGAGGCUACUCUAGUUAAUACCUAGGGAUAGUGGACGUUACUCGCAGAAUAAGCACCGGCUAACUCUGUGCCAGCCGCCGCGGUAA
Molecule: ribosomal RNA, 501 nt
Filed under: uncultured bacterium
Lineage: Bacteria
Description: partial 16S ribosomal RNA
Rfam family: Bacterial small subunit ribosomal RNA
Source: RNAcentral